AUGGACCAACUGGUAAUCAAGAAGACAAUCUGGAAUGAUGAGUUCUGGCAGAACCCCUGGGACCAGGGGGGCCUGGCAGUGAUUAUCUUAUUCAUCGCCGCUGUCCUGCUUCUCAUCUUAUUUGCCAUUGUGUUUGGUUUACUCACUUCCACAGAAAACACCCAGUGUGGAAAGCGUGAAGAGGAGUGACCUGACUUCCUGGGGGCUGAGACAGCAGCAGGGCGAGGGCCUUUGCACAUGCUAUUCUCAUUGACUGGGAUGCUCUCCCUUACACCAUACUCCAUGGCCUCGUUAGUCCUUCCUCAUCCUUCAUAUCUCAGUUUGAACCUGACUCCCUCAGAUUUCAGUAUGUCAUUAAUUCACCCCUAACAGUCCUAACAAAAUGAACAGUUCAUUUGGAUGUGAGUCAGAGAUGCCAGCUUCCACUGUGAUUUUUGGAACCUUCCUUCCUGGAGUUUUCUGCCCCCUAGUGCAAUCCGAAGGCCUGGGACACAGCUAUCUUUCAGGACUACCCUCCAAUAUUGUCCUGAACCAAGACUUACUCCUGG
Callithrix jacchus (white-tufted-ear marmoset) is the source of this 548-nucleotide RNA transcript. It is a transcript of the gene named endoregulin, with no coding region annotated. The record is from RefSeq and is a predicted model, not a curated record. NCBI's taxonomy places the organism in Eukaryota, Metazoa, Chordata, Mammalia, Primates, Cebidae.